RNAcentral lists this ribosomal RNA (253 nucleotides) under uncultured bacterium. Its description in RNAcentral is "partial 16S ribosomal RNA". It matches the Rfam family "Bacterial small subunit ribosomal RNA", at positions 524 to 776 of the family's 1533-position model. The record is from RNAcentral.
UACGUAGGGGGCUAGCGUUGUCCGGAUUUAUUGGGCGUAAAGAGCGUGUAGGCGGCCAUGUAGGUCCGGUGUGAAAACUCGAGGCUUAACCUCGAGAUGUCAUCGGAAACCAUUUGGCUAGAGUCCGGAAGAGGAGAGUGGAAUUCCUGGUGUAGCGGUGAAAUGCGCAGAUAUCAGGAGGAACACCAAUGGCGAAAGCAGCUCUCUGGGACGGUACUGACGCUGAGACGCGAAAGCGUGGGGAGCGAACAGG